Molecule: non-coding RNA, 4063 nt
Organism: Rattus norvegicus (Norway rat)
Lineage: Eukaryota; Metazoa; Chordata; Mammalia; Rodentia; Muridae
Source: RefSeq, a predicted model, not a curated record
GCCUGUUUCCAAGGAAACAGGAGGGAAGCAUGAAACUCAGGAAUCACUUCCUGUCUCUGAGAGAUGCUGGGUCCAGAUGUGGGGCUGUGAGUUGGGGCAAUGCUGAGGACUUGCCAACUCAAAUUACCUCAAGAAGUCUCCACUAAAGGAUCCGAAGGCUCAGAAUAUGAUUUCAAUCAAGGAAACAGAGCCCUUCAACACCGAGGCAAGGACAGGUGGCCUUUGACAAACACAGAGACUUGCAGAAGGAACCAUAUUGAAGGUGUUUUGAUUGCUGCAACCUGGAACUGCUGACCCAAGGAACUGUGCUUGGAAAUCCGGAAAGGGGACAUGGUGCUUCCAGCCCACGCAUCACCAGAACCUUCUGGCACGCAGAGUAGCUGGGUCGGGAUUAAGGCAGUGGACUCCUUUAACAAGCCAGGUCUAAUUGUGUCUCUGCAGAUGUUUAAUGGAAGCCAGAAUCCCAGACAGGCAGCUUCAAGAACAAUGCUGGACAGGUUCUCAUGUGGGAACCAGAGACACAAAAGUGGUGGUAGUUAAUCAAGUCCCUGGUUCUUGGGAAGCGACAACACAAAGAGCUGCAGCAUCUGAUCAUUACCCUGGAGCUCAGACACAAGACGCAGUCCUGUCUGAGCCCUCAUAACACUGCUCACGUUAGCGACUCCCCUCCAGCACCAGGCUUCCUCCUGGAGAGAGGAAGCGUGCCUUCUGGCAUCCCUCAGGACUCCAGAGUCUACCCUAGAGUCGAGUCCCAGGGAAGAGAGUUGAUUGGCUCUCAGCGAAUCGCAUGCCCAACUCUGUACUAGGCACUGGAACCGGAGGGAGAUAAGACACAAUGAUUGGCUUUCCCCCGGGUCACGUGAUCACUCUAUCUCGGGGCGUUUCAGCAGAAAGCAUGGAGAAGACUGUUCUUCACAGGUCAUGGAAGCUUGAGUCCCUUGACCAUCUUUCCCACAUCAGGUCCCGCAAAAGUCCUUGAACUAGAUGCAUCCAGCAAGCACUCUAUAAUUGCUGAGAGACAAACUGCUGCUCCCUCCCAACCCAAUAGCACCUUCUCUUUGACAUCUCAGGCCCGAGUGGAUGGAAAGGUAGACUCGUGAUUUGGAAUGAGUUCCUUUUCUCAGUAGGGCCCCACCCCAGGCAGUUUCUCCUAGUUCUGUGAACUAGAAAAGGUGGAGAGAUAUAUUUGAUAAUCCAGCUCACGGAGGGAGCUGAUGACCGGCUCUUGGAGAAGUGAUUUUCUUUGAACAUGAUACUACAGACGGGAAGCUGUCUCGAGUGUCCCAUCCUGGCGUGCAGAACACAGUUUCUACCUCUGGACCUGCCAUGAAAGCAAGCCCACACCCACACCCACGCCCUCCCAGCCUCCCAUUGGGUGUUCCUUAAAUGAGCGAACGGAACACAAGAGCCUGGCCGCCGUCUGACCUUCAGGCCCCACUCAAUGAAAGCAUCACAGCCAAACGGAAUGCAAGGGAGACUCAGGCAUCAGAGAGAAGCCCUCACUUCUACUGCUCAGGUCCAGGGCACCUGCAGAAACCAAGGAAGAGUCAGCUCGUCUGGAGCCUGGAAGCCCCUUGCAACAUUUGACAACCCUUUUAGGAGCAGAGGCAGCCUUGUCUACAAAAUGCAGGUGUGAUACCAGUUACGGACUCUAGAGGGCGCUUCCACAAGUAUUAAAUGAGCGCAGCAAGGAUCUGGGGCCAGCUGUAUCUGAAUGACCAUUCAUUCAUCCACUAAAUGUUAAAAUGGGGACUUACAGAGAAGAGCCAUCCCACCAGGCUUGCUGGGAAGCACAGAGAGGAGGAGCUACGUGCUAAGAGUGCAAGUACCCAAAAGUGACCUCUUGUCUCUCUACCUUCCCCGUCUCCCCAGUUGGAAUUUACCUCUGCACCUUUGUAUCUGAUGAGUCUGUCCAUCCUUCUCCUCACCUAAGGAUCCUGAAAUCCUUUAAGGGCAGAUGUGUCCUUUUUCCUCCAGGAAUCCCUAUCGACGGCUGUCUGUGACAGCUCAAACCUACCCUUUGUGGGUCGCUUAGCCCAUCUGUGGUUGGGGUCUUUAGCCUUUCUACAUGGACAGCAGGCUCCUCAGACCAGCAUCACACAGCUGUUACAUUUGCACACGAGGCUCAGGCUGAGGGGCACCAGGGAGCUUUUGGCUUCUGCCUUGAAUCCACGGAGAUAGCAGUCACCUUGUUUUUGUGGACUUGACGCACAGGCUCUAGUUAGUGGUCUGAGAUUGUCCUGUGCUGAUGACUCUCUUACAAGAUGGCCCACCCCCACCUCCUGUAUUCAUAUCACCCAGGUCCCAGCUCUGCCUUCCAGCAUGGCAGCUGGCUAGUCAUCCGAAGCAGAGCUUCUCACAUGCACCUGUGUGGAAUCUAUAGAACUCUCAGUGAGCUCUUUACAACACUGGGGGUUCCAGUGGCUAACCCAGGGCAAGCCCUCUGCGGUGGUUUGAAUAGGAGGCUCCCCAAGGCUCAUAUAUUUGAACACUUGGUCACCAGGGAGUGGCGAUCCUUGACAGGGAUUAGGAGGUCCACCCUUGUUGGAGGAAGUGGGUCACUGUGGGGUGGGCUUUGGGAUUUUCGCUGUAGAACCCUCAGCUCCCACUCCAGCACCAUGCCUGCCUGUAUGCCACCAUGCUGAAAAUACACUAAGCUUCUGCAACUGUAAGCCAGCCCCAGGGAAAUUUUUUCCUUUGUAGGAGUUGUGUGGUUAUGGUGUCCCUCUACAAUAGAAGACUAACCCUCUGUCCCAGGAUUGUUCUGGAAGUCACCACCACUCCCAGUCUUUCUGACUCUGGGGGAGCGGAGGAGGUGGUUUCACGACUCACUACAUGGUUUGACUCCUGAGAUCUGCAGAAGUGAGUGGCUAGCCUGGGGUCUCACCUGGGAAAAGGACACAAUUUCUGAGACAGGAGACAAAACAGUCCCUGACCGGAGGGACCCUGACAAAGUCCUUCCUGGCCACCUCCUUAUGGACUCCAAGUCGAUAUCCUGGCCAGUCCAGAGCCACUAGUUCCCAAGUCUUUCAGCAAAACAAAGGUGCACUCCGCAGGAUCCCUUCUCCUGGAAUAUCCUGGCAUAGGAGAAUUUACAUGCAAAUACUUGGAAGAGACAUCCGGUCGUUUAAAUCGACCCAAAGGCACGCGCAAUCGUUUAGAGAGGAUCUAAGUCCGGAUGGCGACACAGGGGGAGACCCGAGAUGGCGUAAUUCAAGACCCGCGUGCAUUUCUCUUCCGAGACAAACUCUGUCUUGGGCUGGUGUGGCGACGGGCCAGAAACAUUUGUUUGAGGCUAGUUUCUUUGCUUUCACUCCAUUGGCUAGAGCGGAACCGCAUGGCCGCCCUUGCUCAAGGGAGGCUGGGAAAUGUAGUCCUUUGCUCCACACACCGCCCUGCUGAAAGCAAAUGCAGGAGGCAACAACUUUCCAAGAGCUCACUUUUCCCAAGCUCAGGGGAUUUUAAUGGCCUUUCCACGCCAGAUAGACAGAGGACAAGGUGGAUGGGUGUCAGGUAAGGUGGGUGAGGGUGGCAGGUAGACAGUGACCACAGUAGGGAUUCUGCUUCGCACCUCUACCACCAUCCCCACCUCAAGCCCCUCUCUGCCCGUUCCUGUCCAUGCCAAGUGUGGUCCUAAGUAUUUUGUUAUGGUGUGGCUGUGAGGUGUCCGCUGCAGAAUGGCACAUUAAACACUGGUAUUGGCCCCUGCCCGAUGGUCCUGUUUUGGGAUUCCGUGGAACGUUCCACAUGUGGCCCGCCUAGCUGGCAGAAGUGGGCCACUAACUGUGGACCUUGGAAAUUAUUAUCCCCUUCUGGUUUGGCCCGAGUUCUCUGCUCCCUCGAUGGAGGAAGUGUGAGGAGGCCCUGCCUGAACUCCUACCACCAUCGUUUCCCCGCCAUGGUAAACUGGCAAGAUGGAAGGCUCCCACUGUGAAGGAAGCCCGCUGGGUCACCAUAGAGAGCUCACUUCCCUGGGAGGGGGGAGAAAUCGUUGGUGAAGCUGGCACGUAAGUCACCCAGGAUAGGCUGAACCAGGGCGCACACACUAAGGUCAAGGCCUGCC